Long non-coding RNA from Branchiostoma floridae (Florida lancelet), 1979 nucleotides. RefSeq lists it as uncharacterized. The record is from RefSeq and is a predicted model, not a curated record. Lineage: Eukaryota; Metazoa; Chordata; Leptocardii; Amphioxiformes; Branchiostomatidae. The transcript has 2 exons.
AUACUGUUGUCAUUAGCGUUUCUUGUCGUUAAAAAUGGGAAAUUAUUAGGCGAUAGUGUCGGGUAUAGAUUACGAUCCAAUGUUCCAGAUCGCUGUCAUUAACGAGAGUUGUCGUUGGUAGACUAAGAGGGAGCUGCCGCGCAAUGCCGCGCAAUGCGUGAUGGGAGUCGAGCAGACCAGCUGAUCAGCAUGAUCAAAAUGGCGGCCUUUUCGUAGCGAUAGCCCGGUAUCCAGCCGUAUAUAGCUCCUGUUCUCUCCGUAUCAUAGCUCCCGAGCACUGUCCCGAGUCUCUUCUGUUCUCUCCGCAAAUGGCAGGCGAGACUUGAGAGCUACAAUAUGGCUGGAUACCAGGCUAGAUGUAGCCUUAUGUGCGAUGUAAAAGCAAGUACCCGUACAACGGUCGUUUAUAUAAUUUUUCAAAAGAUUAUGGUUAGCAUCUGUGAAGAUAACACCACAUUGAUACUGAUAGGAGCCAUAGUUUUGAUAGUUGCUUGUGGCACGAGGUAGAUUCACAGCGGUAACCAGAAAAUCUCGGCGUACAAUUACGGCUGUCAACGUAACGCUCCCGGUUCCAGCCUUACAGGUACCAGACUCAACACAUGGCCGAACUAUUGGUGCAUAUGAGGAAAGCAGGCAUACCGGGACCAGUCUCCUUGCCUUUGGGACCAAGGGCGAUAUGGAAUACCCCGUGUUGUAUUCUAUUUAUAUCAUGCCAACCUGAGCAAACUCAAGUUUAUUGCUAAAAAGAACAAAUGACGGGACAAGAAGCUGAUGAUCAUGCAGCAGUCGAUUACCUGUUUCUACAUAGAGGAAUUAUUCAGUAACACCAGCCAUGUCCUAUUUUUUAAUGCAGUGAGGCUUAAACAAUAUGUCUCAUCGUCCUCAUCGGUCCCUUGACCAGGGGUGGUCGUGGGAGCACUUUGCUACUGAGCAAAUGAACAAUGAGUCUGUAAAAAGUUAAACUAGUAGUAGUAGAGGUGUACAGACAGCUUGUAUAUAGAAAGUUUUUUUUGUUAUUCUGCAGUGUGCUGUGUUUGUUAUCAUGUUAUAAUUGCUGUAACUCAGAUUCAAAUUCUUUUAAAAUCAUGUCUCUUUAGAUGGAAGAUAUAGUACUAGUAGAGUACAUUGAGUAGAAAAUGUUGAGGUUGUACAUGUAUCUGUUUUGCAUGUUAAUUACAACUAACUUGUAUUAUACAUGAUGCAGAGAACUUUCUAAUGUUCUGUGUUGUAUUAGAUAUUCCAUGUAACAGCCUUUGCAUGUAAGGUAGCUAUGGGGAAGGAUGGAUUAGUUGUAUGUUUCAGAUGCUCAUCCAAAAAUAUUUAGGUAUAUGGGCAAUUGCUGAUGACUUUCAAAACACCAAAACACAGCGUUGGAGCUAUUGAGCUUAAACUGUACAACUGUACAUGUAUGAGGUCACUGUCAAUGUCAGAUACAUGUGAUGAGACCUAGUGCGAGUCUUCCUAUGUAAUCUUGACAUAAGUACAUGAUGAUGGAGAAUAACAGGAAUAGGAAAUUGAUUAAGAAGCUUUUAUUUUGUUUUUAUUUUGUAUUAAUAUUCUGGGUAAUCUGGAUAUUUCCAUAUCAGUUUAUUACAUAAAUGUGUGCGCCUGUACAUUCCACUAAAAGGCCAGAAGUUGUAUGUGAAUGAAGCUAACUGGAAUUGGGAUUGGGUCAUUACUAGAUCUGUACAGUGGCCUGGAAGAUUUUUUACAAAGUAUCAACUUUGUGAGUAUUAGCUGUAAAGGGUUAGAAGAUUUAGUGUUUGUCCAAAGUGCAAUAUUGUAUUUGUCCAAAAUCAAUCAGUAGUUUCUUAUAUGUAUACAAAUAGAUAAGUGCAAACACAAAGGAUUAUUACUAUAUCUAGUUGCAUAUAAAAGUUGUCGGUCGGUCUUAUCCAUUUGCGGGACUCUGUUUUGUCAAGCUUUAUUUCAUUGUAGUCAAGUCAUCAUGAAAUAAAUAGUGGACUUUGAAAAAGCAA